This 693-nucleotide ribosomal RNA is filed under the name Triticum aestivum (bread wheat). RNAcentral's name for it is "partial small subunit ribosomal RNA". The record is from RNAcentral. Lineage: Eukaryota; Viridiplantae; Streptophyta; Magnoliopsida; Poales; Poaceae.
AUGAAGGUGGCGCAGCUGGAAGCCGAUCUCAGGGCGAGCGGCGAGGAGCUUGCCGCGCUCAAGCGUGAGCACGAGAAGGACGCUGCCGCUCAUGGUGAGCUGCAGGGUCUUCUCGCUGAGAGGAGCAAGGAGCUCAGUGCCACCAAGGAUUCCAAUGCAGAUCUCGAGUUGAAGUUGGCUACUUUGACUCAGACGCUGGACGGCGGCAGGGAGCGGGAGGUGGCCUUGUCGGAGAAGAUCAAGGCUGACGAGGCGCUGCUGGCGAAUGCUGCUACCGCCCACGAUUCCUUCAGGGAGACUGUGGAGCACUGGACUGAGGGUCUUGUGGAUCUUGCCGCCACCAUCGGCGGGGAGCUGGCGCAGCUGGGGAUGGAGGAUCUUGGGUACUCCUCCGACGAGCACCUCCAACCCAGCGCCAAGCUCAGCUUGUUCUUCAAAGGCGUGGCGACGGCCCUCCAGCGACUCCGGGAGAAGAUCCCAAAGCAGCUGGCCGAUGAGUCACGCAAGAUCUGCGCAGGAGCUCUCCAGAAGGUGCUGAUGAAGGUGGCCUUCCGCAACCCAGGCCUCAACUUCACCAACGUCCUCAAGUCCUUGCCGCCGGAUGUUGACCUGGAAGCGCUCAAGGCCCUUGUCGCACCCAUUGUGGACAAGGUGAGCGGGAUCAAGAGGGUUGAGGGCGAUCGCGUAGAUUAA